Molecule: small nuclear RNA, 107 nt
Organism: Perognathus longimembris pacificus (Pacific pocket mouse)
Lineage: Eukaryota; Metazoa; Chordata; Mammalia; Rodentia; Heteromyidae
Source: RefSeq, a predicted model, not a curated record
GUGCUCCCUUCGGAAGCACAUAUACUAAAAUCGGAACAAUACAGAGAAGAUUAGCAUAGCUCCUCUGCAAGGAUGCCACACAAAUUUGUGAAGUGUUCCAUAUUUUU